This 488-nucleotide long non-coding RNA is filed under the name Homo sapiens (human). RNAcentral describes it as "HSALNT0218619". The record is from RNAcentral. Lineage: Eukaryota; Metazoa; Chordata; Mammalia; Primates; Hominidae.
GCUGCUCGUAGGGCACGUCCAGCAUCUGGUCCAGGCCCACACCGCGAAAAAAAGGUUUACCACAGUGGCUCAAGGAAAACGGAACCAGAGUAAGACAGUUUCUACUUGGACUUGGGGAACCAGCAAACUCAUUCACUUACAAUCAAGAACAAACCGAUUAAAUUGAAUAAAGAAUCUGGCAAAUCUAGCUACUAUGGUUUGGCUUAGUGUCCCCACCCAAAUCUCAUGUCGAAUGUGCUGGAGAAGGAGCCUGGUGGGAGGUGAUUGGAUCAUGGGGGUGAAUUUCCUCCUUGCUGUUCUCAUGAAUGUGAGUAAGUUCUCACGACAUCUGAUGGUUUAACAAUGUGUGGCACUUCCCCCUGCUCUCUUUCUCUCUCUCCCCUGCCACCAUGUAAAGAAGGUCCUUGUUUCCCCUUCACCUUCCACCAUGAUUGUAAGUUUCCUGAGGCCUCUCAGUCAUGCUUCCUGUUAAGCCUGUGGAACGGUGA